AACUCUUCUUCUCUGGCCCUCUCGGAUCUCCACUCUGUCCUCCCACUUUGCCCCAGUCCUCCACUUGUUCUCUGAUUAAUUCCAUGACCCUAAAUCAAUGCCUGGCACAUAACCUCUCAGUCUUUGUGAAACAAACGAAUGGGUUUACUUUCUCAACACCUAUGUUAGAAAAAGCAUAAAACUUAAAUGUGAUUUACUCCCUCUAAGGGAUGUGAACGUUUAAAUAGUAAGAUAUUGACAAAAAACCCACGUGGCGAAGUACAGGCCAGGUUGUUGGCUCUGGCUGAGAGGGGGAAGGAAAUUGAGAAGAAACGGCUGUGCCCAUUCGGGGACUGCGGGAAAGACCGUAAACCCUGUAGUACUCAACCAAUGAGGAUCCAGGGGAGGGACUCGCCUGCUAAGGAAUAAAUUGCUCAAACUGCCGAGUGUGCGUUUUUACCAGACACCCAAUCUUGCAAGACCACCGUUAAAGCCUCGCUCUGCUGUUCUCUUUGUCUCCGUGUCACUUAAGUUCGGACCAGUGAGCGCGUUUCUCACAAUUUGGGGUCUCAUCCGGAGUACUCGUGCCCGUGGAAGUGGGGGCCCAAGGGGAGUGGGGAGGCCCUGCCCGACUUAGGGCGGCCCGCUCUGUCUGGGUGUUUCAUCCUCCCUCGGAAACCGAGAAAAGACCCCCAGACUGUUGUGAGGAGACAGCCGCCGAACACAGAAGAGGAAAGGCAGGCACCGCGGCAACCAGGCAAUCUUGUGCAGGAGCCAAGGCUGAAAGGACUCGUCGCCCACGCUUCCCCCUCUAUAGUUCUUCGCUCACUGCUUCCAGCCUGGAGACCUGGUAUUAGUAAAGUCCUGGAAAGAAGAUCGACUCCAGCCCAGCUGGGAAGGCCCCUCCCAAGUGCUCCUGACCACAAAAACUGCAGUGAGGACGGCUGAAAAGGCUUGGACUCAUUACACCAGAAUAAAGAAAUUAACUGAGGGAUCUGGGAACAAAACGGAGAAUUGGAAGGUGUCCCAAGUAGCUAACCAACUCUUAAGGCUAAAACUAAAAAUAACCUAAAAAUGUUCGUUUUUAUUCUUCUCACUCUAUAUUUUAUAGGCAAAUCACAAGGAACCCUAAGUUGGAAAGGGACUCCUGAUUAUCCUGUCAAAUUAGUAAUCAAUAUUACAAAGACAUUAAGCCCCCAAACCAUUAGGUUUGAUGCCUGUCAAAUUCUCUCUUGUGGUGAUUUAAACGACCAGAGACAACUUUCUGGGGAAAAUAAAUACCUCUGUCCCGAACCAAGUCCAAGCCAGGAAGCCUAUGUGGCCUAUCCUUGCCCUACCUGGAGCGAUGUAUGGUGGACCACCCAGUUGCAAGGAUGGACAGCCAGCCCAGCCCACCUAGCCAGCCUGAGAGGGAGAUCUAGAGACUUAAAACCUUUAAAAGGAAAGCUCCACUUAGCUAAAGGCAUUCCCCCUAAGAAUUGCCAGGACAAACAAUGUAACCCUCUCUUGUUAAGUAUAAAUAAUCCUCAAGAUUUAGACUCAAACCCCGUAAUUGCUCCUCGUGUUUACGGACUUGGUGCAGAUGUUGCUGGAAUAGAUCCCGUGGGAAGGUUUGGUCUUAAUUUAAUCAAAGACAAGACUUCACGCAUAGUAACCACCCCUAAUACUGAGGUAGAUGAGCCAGAGCUUCCCAGUAAUGACCCUACACUAAUUACUGUAACAGAGGUAAAGGAUCUAAAACAAAACUCUUGGAAAUUGAGACAGGUUACAGAAACACCAAUGCCUGCGGAGAAUAUGUCAAAUUUUCAGCACUAGCUUUGAACAAAAGCAACUGUUAUGCAUGUGCUGCAGGACAGCCGCAGGUGCAGGUGGUCCUGUUCUUUCUCUACAGGGACACAGACCCCAGUGGGAUGAACUGCAUGUUGGCCCUGUAUAGGAUAAGGACACUUGGAAAGAUGAGAUUUGCAUGUGCUUGUCUCUACUUUUUCCUACACUAAAGAAGUCAGACCCGAUGGCAAUCUCCUUUUUCCAUAGGGAUGAUAAAUCACUCCUCAUGUCUCUCUAGGCAAGAGGAAGGUUUCACAACUCCUGUGGGGAAUUUGCUAACUUGUACCCACGUCCUGAAGUCUCUAAAGAGGGUUACUUCUCAAGAUUACUCAUCCCCCUAGCGGAUAUUUGGUGGUACUGCAGAAAGAGGAACCUGGGCAACUCAUUGCCAUCCAGCUGAACUGGGACUUGUGCUUUAGUCCAAUUGCCUAUUCCAUUUACCUUGGAGUUUCUCUCCACUCCCAAAGGGGAAAGAAUUUCUCAUAGAAAUCACAGACCAUUGCAAGGAUCCUUUGAUUCAAAUGUAUAUAGUGGCUCAAGAGGAGUCCCUGGCAGAGUCCCUAAGGAAUCUAAAGCUAGAAACCAAAGAGCUGCAGGGUUUGAAUCAGCACUCUUGGUGGUCCACCAUCAACAAAAACAUAGACUGGAUCAGUUAUAUUUACUAUAUCAACAAAGGUUUAUAAACUAUACCAGGGAUACUCUUCAAGAAGUAACUAGCCGAUUGGAUGCUACCAGCAGGAUGGCCUGGGAGACCAGGAUAGCGUUGACAUGAUGUAAGAAGAAAAAGGCAGAGUCUGUGUUGUGUUGGGAGGAAAAUGUUGUACUUUUAUGCCAAGUAAUACUGCCACUGAUAGUACUGUUACUAAAGCUCUACAGGGACUCACCACUUCAGCUAAUGAAUUAGCUGAAAACUCUGGCAUCGAUGAUCCUUUUACAGACAGUUCAGAAGGAUGGUUCGGGAAAUGGAAAGGUAUAGUUGCCUCUGUUUUAACAUCCCCUGUUAGAGCCGCCAGAGUUUUACCCGCUGUAGGAUGCUGUGUCACCCCUUGUGUGAGAGGCCUGACCCAGAGGCUCACACAGCCAUAAACAAAUACCUGUGACAUACACCCAAAAUAAUCUUAUGUUAUCGGAAAAUAAAUUUAACUAUGAAGAAGAGAGGAAAUAUAUAUUGGAAAAGUUUGAAAAAGAACUGGGCAUAAGUUGAAAUCCAUUCCUGGGAAUAAAAUCAGAAAUUCUUAAAUAGGAAGAGGAGCAACUGUUAGAAAAAGCAAGACCUAAAUGUGAUUUUCUCCCACUACGGGGUUUAAACAUUUUAACAGUAAGAUAUCGACAAAAACCCCACUGUAGGGAAGCACAUGCCAGGAAGUUCAGGCUGAGGCAGGAGGAAACUGAAAAGAAACAGGCUGUGCCUAUUGGGGGGAGCGGAGUUUUGAACCAGCCAAUAAAAUUAAGACAAAUGUAAAAGAAAGCCUAAUAUGGAUAUAACUUGCUUAGGCAAUCUCCGGGGAAGAAUGUGAACCCUGUAGUACUCAACCAGUGAGGAACCAGAGGGGAGACCUGCAUGCUAGGGAAUAAAUUGCUCCAACUGCCCUGGGUGUGCAUGUUUACCAGACACCCAAUCUUUCAAGAUCACCAUUAAAGCUUCACUCUGCCGGUC
Molecule: long non-coding RNA, 3463 nt
Organism: Manis pentadactyla (Chinese pangolin)
Lineage: Eukaryota; Metazoa; Chordata; Mammalia; Pholidota; Manidae
Exons: 2
Source: RefSeq, a predicted model, not a curated record